UCUCCAAACACAUUUGAUAUAAAAAAAAAGUUCCUUUUGACUACUCCCACACAAAUGUGUUACUCUGUGUCUUCAAUCCUUUAGCUGGCUGUCUUCUGAUAUUUUCUCAGUGUCAGCUCCAUUCUCUUAUCUCUUUUGUCUAUUUUGUUCUUUUUUCUCUUGUCGCUUUCGUUGCUUUACUCAAUAGCUUAUUUUUGUUCCUCCCAACUUACUUGACUCUAUUUUUUCCUCCAGUUAUCAGCCCUCCUCCCUACAAAUCUUCUAUCUUUCCACCCAGCUGGCAGGUUAGAGUCUGGGCACUAUGAAGUUCAACCAGUAAUUAAUUCUCAUGCAGAGAAAUCUGCAGUUAAACUGUAAGCAUGCUCAGCUAUUGCCGCAACUCUUAUAGUGAAGAAUUGAGAGCCGUGCACAUUCACAGUUACAUAUCCAUUCAUUUUCAUCUGAAGGCAGUGGCUAGUGGUUAUUCUACAGAUGGUGGGACCCCCAUUCUAGAGGCAGAUAUCAGUUCCAGAGAUUUCCCUACAGAAUACAACUGAAUAUUGAGUUCCCAGCAAAAGAGCAAUUCAUGGCCAGCUUCUUACCAAGACUCUUCCAACAUGAAGUGCUUGCGGCCGGAGCGCAGAGUGUAACAUUUAGUUGUACCCCAAAAUUGUAAAGUUCUGUGGAAUCUACUGGCACUAUGUAAAUAAAAUGAAUAUUAUUACUGACCAUGACAAAGCGCCA
Long non-coding RNA from Hyla sarda, 723 nucleotides. RefSeq lists it as uncharacterized. Lineage: Eukaryota; Metazoa; Chordata; Amphibia; Anura; Hylidae. The transcript is spliced from 3 exons. The record is from RefSeq and is a predicted model, not a curated record.